RNAcentral lists this ribosomal RNA (499 nucleotides) under uncultured microorganism. RNAcentral's name for it is "bacterial SSU rRNA". It matches the Rfam family "Bacterial small subunit ribosomal RNA", at positions 9 to 490 of the family's 1533-position model. The record is from RNAcentral.
GAGUUUGAUCGUGGCUCAGGAUGAACGCUGGCGGCGUGCCUAAUACAUGCAAGUCGAGCGAACGGACGAGAAGCUUGCUUCUCUGAUGUUAGCGGCGGACGGGUGAGUAACACGUGGGUAACCUACCUAUAAGACUGGGAUAACUCCGGGAAACCGGGGCUAAUACCGGAUAACACAUGAAACCGCAUGGUUUCAUGAUGAAAGACGGUCUUGCUGUCACUUAUAGAUGGAUCCGCGCUGCAUUAGCUAGUUGGUAAGGUAACGGCUUACCAAGGCAACGAUGCAUAGCCGACCUGAGAGGGUGAUCGGCCACACUGGAACUGAGACACGGUCCAGACUCCUACGGGAGGCAGCAGUAGGGAAUCUUCCGCAAUGGGCGAAAGCCUGACGGAGCAACGCCGCGUGAGUGAUGAAGGUCUUCGGAUCGUAAAACUCUGUUAUUAGGGAAGAACAUAUGUGUAAGUAACUGUGCACAUCUUGACGGUACCUAAUCAGAAAG